Molecule: ribosomal RNA, 502 nt
Filed under: uncultured Ralstonia sp.
Lineage: Bacteria; Pseudomonadati; Pseudomonadota; Betaproteobacteria; Burkholderiales; Burkholderiaceae
Description: bacterial SSU rRNA
Rfam family: Bacterial small subunit ribosomal RNA
Source: RNAcentral
GAGUUUGAUCCUGGCUCAGAUUGAACGCUGGCGGCAUGCCUUACACAUGCAAGUCGAACGGCACCAUGACCUAGCUUGCUAGAUUGAUGGCGAGUGGCGAACGGGUGAGUAAUACAUCGGAACGUGCCCUGUAGUGGGGGAUAACUAGUCGAAAGAUUAGCUAAUACCGCAUACGACCUGAGGGUGAAAGUGGGGGACCGCAAGGCCUCAUGCUAUAGGAGCGGCCGAUGUCUGAUUAGCUAGUUGGUGAGGUAAAGGCUCACCAAGGCGACGAUCAGUAGCUGGUCUGAGAGGACGAUCAGCCACACUGGGACUGAGACACGGCCCAGACUCCUACGGGAGGCAGCAGUGGGGAAUUUUGGACAAUGGGCGAAAGCCUGAUCCAGCAAUGCCGCGUGUGUGAAGAAGGCCUUCGGGUUGUAAAGCACUUUUGUCCGGAAAGAAAUGGCUCUGGUUAAUACCUGGGGUCGAUGACGGUACCGGAAGAAUAAGGACCGGCUAA